AACGAACGCUGGCGGCAGGCCUAACACAUGCAAGUCGAGCGGGCGUAGCAAUACGUCAGCGGCGGACGGGUGAGUAACACGUGGGAAUAUGCCUUUCGGUUUGGAACAACUCGGGGAAACCCGUAGCUAAUUCCGGAUACGCCCUUAGGGGAAAGGAUUUAUCGCCGAAAGAUUAGCCGCGUCCGAUUAGCUAGUUGGUGAGGUAACGGCCCGACCAAGGCGACGAUCGGUAGCUGGUUUGAGAGAACGACCAGCCACACUGGGACUGAGACACGGCCCAGACUCCUACGGGAGGCAGCAGUGGGGAAUCUUGGACAAUGGAGGAAACUCUGAUCCAGCCAUGCCGCGU
Molecule: ribosomal RNA, 349 nt
Filed under: uncultured bacterium
Lineage: Bacteria
Description: bacterial SSU rRNA
Rfam family: Bacterial small subunit ribosomal RNA
Source: RNAcentral